UACGGAGGGUGCAAGCGUUAUCCGGAUUUACUGGGUUUAAAGGGUGCGUAGGUGGAUUGGUAAGUCAGUGGUGAAAUCUCCGAGCUUAACUUGGAAACUGCCAUUGAUACUAUUAAUCUUGAAUAUUGUGGAGGUCAGCGGAAUAUGUCAUGUAGCGGUGAAAUGCUUAGAUAUGACAUAGAACACCAAUUGCGAAGGCAGCUGGCUACACAUAUAUUGACACUGAGGCACGAAAGCGUGGGGAUCAAACAGG
This 253-nucleotide ribosomal RNA is filed under the name uncultured bacterium. RNAcentral describes it as "partial 16S ribosomal RNA". It matches the Rfam family "Bacterial small subunit ribosomal RNA", at positions 524 to 776 of the family's 1533-position model. The record is from RNAcentral.